This 283-nucleotide ribosomal RNA is filed under the name Clostridioides difficile. RNAcentral describes it as "partial 23S ribosomal RNA". It matches the Rfam family "Bacterial large subunit ribosomal RNA", at positions 1769 to 2051 of the family's 2925-position model. The record is from RNAcentral. Lineage: Bacteria; Bacillati; Bacillota; Clostridia; Peptostreptococcales; Peptostreptococcaceae.
GCAGGUGGCCGCAGAGAAUAGGCCCAAGCGACUGUUUACCAAAAACAUAGGUUUCUGCUAAGUCGCAAGACGAUGUAUAGGAGCUGACGCCUGCCCGGUGCUGGAAGGUUAAGGGGAUCUGUUAGAGUAAUCGAAGCAGUGAACUUAAGCCCCAGUAAACGGCGGCCGUAACUAUAACGGUCCUAAGGUAGCGAAAUUCCUUGUCGGGUAAGUUCCGACCCGAACGAAAGGCGUAACGAUUUGGGCACUGUCUCAACAACAGACUCGGUGAAAUUGUAAUUCC